CCCUUAGAUGUUCUGGACCGCACGCGUGCUACACUGAGUAAAUCAAUGGGUAAGGGAACACGAAAGUGCAACCUAAUCUUGAAAUUUGCUCGUGAUGGGGAUCGACGGUUGCAAUUUUCCGUCGUGAACGAGGAAUACCUUGUAGGCGCGUGUCAUCAUCACGCGCCGAAUACGUCCCUGCCCUUUGUACACACCGCCCGUCGCUCCUACCGAUUGAGUGAUCCGGUGAGGCUCUGGGACCUGGACGGAAAGAGCGUUUCGCUUGUUCUGUUUGGGAAACUUGGUCGAACCUUAUCAUUUAGAGGAAGGAGAAGUCGUAACA
Molecule: ribosomal RNA, 322 nt
Filed under: uncultured eukaryote
Lineage: Eukaryota
Description: partial 18S ribosomal RNA
Rfam family: Eukaryotic small subunit ribosomal RNA
Source: RNAcentral